CUGCAGCCCAAGUGGUGAUCGAUAUUAUUGAGCCUAAAGCGUCCGUAGCCGGUUUGGUAAAUCUUCGGGUAAAUCGAGCAGCUUAACUGUUCGAAUUCCGGAGAGACUGCUAGACUUGGGACCGGGAGAGGUCAGAGGUACUCCAGGGGUAGGGGCUAAAUCCUGUAAUCCUUGGAGGACCACCAGUGGCGAAGGCGUCUGACUAGAACGGAUCCGACGGUAAGGGACGAAACCCUGGGGCGCAAACCGGAUUAGAGACCCGAGUAGUCC
RNAcentral lists this ribosomal RNA (270 nucleotides) under uncultured archaeon. Its description in RNAcentral is "partial 16S ribosomal RNA". It matches the Rfam family "Archaeal small subunit ribosomal RNA", at positions 477 to 747 of the family's 1478-position model. The record is from RNAcentral.